This 73-nucleotide transfer RNA is filed under the name Candidatus Berkelbacteria bacterium. RNAcentral describes it as "tRNA-Asp". It matches the Rfam family "tRNA". From Rfam's summary of the family: Transfer RNA (tRNA) molecules are approximately 80 nucleotides in length. Their secondary structure includes four short double-helical elements and three loops (D, anti-codon, and T loops). The record is from RNAcentral. Lineage: Bacteria; Candidatus Berkelbacteria.
GGCCCCGUAGAGGAGUGGAGUCCUCGUCUCCUUGUCAAGGAGAAAAUCGCCGGUUCGAAUCCGGUCGGGGCCG